UUAUUUGUUCUUCUGUUGGUUUGUCACCUCGAGAGCCAAGGCUGACUGUAAUACAUCAUGCCUCUCUCAAAAUGGGAUGUAGCUUAUGAAAGCUCCUGCCAUACCGGUCAGAACAUCGUACACAGUUGGGGAAUGUCGAGUCCAGCUCCUCCCAGUCUGCCACCUGGUUGAAGAAUGCAAGCAGAGCCUUCCCGUCUGCUGCAGGAGACAGGCUGCAUAAAAACCGCUCAACCAAAAUACAAGACCGCAGUCCUUUUUCUGGACCUCUUUCUUCAAUUGCUCCCACUCCAAUGCCAGCAAAAAUAACAUAAUAUUUGGAAUGGCAUAGAGAGAAAGACUCCCUUGUGCCUUCAACAAGACCUCUUUGGUUCGAGACUUGGAUUUGACUCGACAGCAUUCCAGGUGUUUAAUGUUUAUGGAA
Long non-coding RNA from Eublepharis macularius, 421 nucleotides. RefSeq lists it as uncharacterized. The transcript is spliced from 3 exons. The record is from RefSeq and is a predicted model, not a curated record. Lineage: Eukaryota; Metazoa; Chordata; Lepidosauria; Squamata; Eublepharidae.